GUUCUCCCCCCUCCCUCUCCUCCAAGCUAAAUAGUAAAAUCUCAUUUAAGAUGCCGUCAAAUGAGCACCCCCAGAAAAAGGUGUUCAAAAAAGCGAUUCUUUUUCAUUUAUGAUUUCCACAUCUAACUUAAAUAGCUCUAUUAGUCCUUUACAAAAUCCCUUUCACAUUCUUAUACAUCAAUUUUUCUUCUUUUUCCCCCCUCUUUUCAUUUUACUACCUGCUCAGUCAAUCACAAAACCCGAAACCCACUUCAAGAAACAUGAAAUCUCCUCUCGAGGUUUCUCUUUUUCUCCUAUUUCUGGGUUUUUCAGCUUAUGUCUUCAAUUACAAUGAAUCUACCCAAGUAAAUGAAUCUUUAGAACUGGUUCCAUUGGUGGACGAAAAGAUGGUGAAGAUGAUGAUGUUUAAUGAAAGCAGAAGAAAGUUGGGGACUUUCCAGAUAUGUGCUGCUUGUACAUGCUGUGGUGGACCGAAAGGUGUUUGCUUGCCAUCCCCUUGUUGCUAUGCCAUCAAUUGCAACAUUCCAAACAGACCUUUUGGUUUCUGCUCCUUCACUCCCAAGACCUGUAAUUGCUUUGGAUGCCAUCUCUAGUUUCAAGUUUUAUUUUAUCUAUAUUUCGUAAUUUUGGCUUGUUUUUAACUAAGGAGUUCAAAAAAAAAAAAAAAACACUUGAUUCUGUUGGGAGUGUGAAAGGGAAGGAAGAGAAUAUCUGGAUUUUUUAUAUAUAUAUAUAAAUUUUAUAGGAAGGUUGGUGUGUCCAGGUUAGUUUUUUGGCCAUCUCCAGUGGGAUGUCUAUAAAUUUUGUUUUCUCGAGGAAGUAGCAUUGCCUGGAAAUAGAUAUUCUAAGCAUUAGAGCACAAUAUAUGGAUAGUUAAGGAACCAUUACCCUUGUUUAUGAAGUUACUGGGUCUUAUGAUAAGGUUUUAUUUUUUAUGAAUAAAUUAAUGUUAGUGUUCAAAGGUGUGGAAGUGUUGCUAAUGACAAAGAUUCAAGAUGUCUAUUAUUUUACUAUUGUCUUGUUCACUUUUAUAGUUAUAUGAUCCAAAUGUUCAGUGUAUUACUUGGGUGUUAUGCAGAAUGCACCUCGGAAUAACAAUGUAAAUAACUCUUUCUUUUAAUAUCAAUUUGCUUUUGGACAGUGUUUGUACUAA
Long non-coding RNA from Gossypium raimondii (Peruvian cotton), 1153 nucleotides. RefSeq lists it as uncharacterized. Lineage: Eukaryota; Viridiplantae; Streptophyta; Magnoliopsida; Malvales; Malvaceae. The transcript is spliced from 2 exons. The record is from RefSeq and is a predicted model, not a curated record.